AUGUACGACCGACAGGAGAAGGGAAAAGUGCAGGGAGCUUGGAGGUUUAUUUUACAAGGAAGAAAGGAGAGCAAUGCUGUUUUAGUUGUUGUCAGUGACGAGUUGAGAGUUUUUAUCCCAGCAAUAUUUGUACCAAGUUUUGCAAACUUACUUCCAUCAAGUCAUGCUGGACAUGAACUCCACAUGAAUCACCCUCCUUUGCAACAUAAAAAAGCAUCGAGCCCCUCUACGGAAGCCACGCCUGAAUUGCAAAUUCUGGUGCGAAAUUAUCUCACUGGAAGGCUCCAAUCUUGCCAUUCUACCAACUUCGCUGGGACGCCGACCACCCACGCUUCACCUGAGAAAAUGAACCACAACGAUGAAUGA
RNAcentral lists this ribosomal RNA (366 nucleotides) under Triticum aestivum (bread wheat). Its description in RNAcentral is "partial small subunit ribosomal RNA". The record is from RNAcentral. Lineage: Eukaryota; Viridiplantae; Streptophyta; Magnoliopsida; Poales; Poaceae.